UACGUAGGGUGCAAGCGUUGUCCGGAAUUAUUGGGCGUAAAGAGCUCGUAGGCGGUGUGUUACGUCGGCUGUGAAAACCUGGGGCUUAACCCUGGGCUGGCUUCCGAUACGGGCAGACUAGAGGUAUGCAGGGGAGAACGGAAUUCCUGGUGUAGCGGUGAAAUGCGCAGAUAUCAGGAGGAACACCGGUGGCGAAGGCGGUUCUCUGGGCAGUACCUGACGCUGAGGAGCGAAAGUGUGGGGAGCGAACAGG
This 253-nucleotide ribosomal RNA is filed under the name uncultured bacterium. RNAcentral describes it as "partial 16S ribosomal RNA". It matches the Rfam family "Bacterial small subunit ribosomal RNA", at positions 524 to 776 of the family's 1533-position model. The record is from RNAcentral.